RNAcentral lists this ribosomal RNA (448 nucleotides) under uncultured bacterium. Its description in RNAcentral is "partial 16S ribosomal RNA". It matches the Rfam family "Bacterial small subunit ribosomal RNA", at positions 329 to 793 of the family's 1533-position model. The record is from RNAcentral.
UCCCAGACUCCUACGGGAGGCAGCAGUGGGGAAUAUUGCACAAUGGGGGAAACCCUGAUGCAGCGACGCCGCGUGAGUGAAGAAGUAUUUCGGUAUGUAAAGCUCUAUCAGCAGGGAAGAAGAAGGACGGUACCUGAGUAAGAAGCCCCGGCUAACUACGUGCCAGCAGCCGCGGUAAUACGUAGGGGGCAAGCGUUAUCCGGAUUUACUGGGUGUAAAGGGAGCGUAGACGGCGAAGAAAGUCUGAAGUGAAAGCCCGCGGCUCAACCGCGGAAUGGCUUUGGAAACUUUUUUGCUGGAGUACCGGAGAGGUAAGCGGAAUUCCUAGUGUAGCGGUGAAAUGCGUAGAUAUUAGGAGGAACACCAGUGGCGAAGGCGGUCUGCUGGACAGCAACUGACGCUGAGGCGCGAAGGCGUGGGGAGCAAACAGGAUUAGAUACCCGAGUAU